RNAcentral lists this ribosomal RNA (506 nucleotides) under uncultured bacterium. RNAcentral describes it as "partial 16S ribosomal RNA". It matches the Rfam family "Bacterial small subunit ribosomal RNA", at positions 28 to 523 of the family's 1533-position model. The record is from RNAcentral.
GAUGAACGCUAGCGAUAGGCUUAACACAUGCAAGUCGAGGGGCAGCAUGGUCUUAGCUUGCUAAGACUGAUGGCGACCGGCGCACGGGUGCGUAACGCGUAUGCAACUUGCCUCACAGAGGGGGAUAACCCGUCGAAAGACGGACUAAUACCGCGUACACUUGGAGGGAGGCAUCUCCCAUCAAGGAAAAGAAAUUCGCUGUGAGAUAGGCAUGCGUCCCAUUAGCUAGUUGGUGAGGUAACGGCUCACCAAGGCAACGAUGGGUAGGGGAACUGAGAGGUUGAACCCCCACACUGGUACUGAGACACGGACCAGACUCCUACGGGAGGCAGCAGUGAGGAAUAUUGGUCAAUGGGCGAGAGCCUGAACCAGCCAAGUCGCGUGAAGGAUGACUGUCUUAUGGAUUGUAAACUUCUUUUGUAGGGGAAUAAAGAACGGUACGUGUACCGUAGUGAAUGUACCCUACGAAUAAGCAUCGGCUAACUCCGUGCCAGCAGCCGCCGUAA